ACGAACGCUGGCGGCAGGCUUAACACAUGCAAGUCGAACGGUUGUAGCAAUACAGCAGUGGCGCACGGGUGAGUAACGCGUGGGAAUGUACCAUUUAGUGGGGGAUAACUUCGGGAAACUGAAGCUAAUACCGCAUACGCCCUUAGGGGGAAAGAUUUAUCGCUAAAUGAUCAGCCCGCGUGAGAUUAGGUAGUUGGUGGGGUAAUGGCCUACCAAGCCUACGAUCUCUAGCUGGUCUGAGAGGAUGAUCAGCCACACUGGAACUGAGACACGGUCCAGACUCCUACGGGAGGCAGCAGUGGGGAAUAUUGGACAAUGGGCGAAAGCCUGAUCCAGCCAUGCCGCGUGAGUGAUGAAGGCUUUAGGGUUGUAAAGCUCUUUCGCCGAUGAAGAUAAUGACGGUAGUCGGAGAAGAAGCCCCGGCUAACUUCGU
This 433-nucleotide ribosomal RNA is filed under the name uncultured bacterium. Its description in RNAcentral is "bacterial SSU rRNA". It matches the Rfam family "Bacterial small subunit ribosomal RNA", at positions 29 to 506 of the family's 1533-position model. The record is from RNAcentral.